CAGGAGUCGAACCAGUGACCUCUUGAUACAUGGGGUAAUGCUCAAUCACUGAGCGACACUGGCCGGGCCAACUGUCAGUUUUCUAAAGUCCUCUGACUGAACUGGGCAAGUGCUGAGUUCCUGAGAGCGCCACCUUGUUAAUGCCCUAAGAGCUGCCCAGGCUGCCGGCAUCUCGUCAGGGAACAUUCCUCUGGGUGAUGCUUAGUCUGCUGGGCAGGCACAGGGUGCACUGUGGGUACUGACUAUUCUCAGACUCCUUGGUCCAGGUCCCACUUUCUAUCUGGAAGAGAAGCUCCCUGCACACUGCAAGCUGAAUAUACCAGAGGAAACGUCCAGAAUCUCACGUCCCCUCCAGCGUCAGCGUUACAGAGGAACGUGGAAUGCUUGAAACACCAGCCAUGUGUGGUAGUGUAUUUGGGGGGCGUUGGGGAGCAAUGCUGCGCACAUGCAUCUCAGGGCAGGCGGGAGCUGCGAGAAGGGGGUGGCACGGCUUAAAACUGACCUUCUAUGUAUAGGAAAGAGCACUGUGUGCCAGGCUCCAGGACACAUUAUCUUUCCCGUGUAUGGUAACAUUUCUGUACAUUCCAGGAGACGGAGAAGCAGUGAACGAAAGGGAGGAAAAGAAGGACCCAACUCAACCAAGCAGAUGGCCUCUUUAAGAUGAAUAAUCCUCUCAAACCAGAGGGAACGAAGUUGAGCCUGAAAUAAUUGAGUUUGCUGGAUAAUAUGCCAUGAUGUGAAUGUACCCCGAUUUGUUUAUCCAUUCACCAGCUGAUGAACAUCUGGGUCCUUCCUAGUUUGACCGAUUAUAACUAGAACUGUUAUGAACAUUUUGUAAAAGCUCUGUGUGGGUAUACGCUUUCUUAAAUAACCACAAGUGGGAUUGCUGGGUUAUAUGACAAUCAUACAUUUAACUCUAAGAAACUGCCAAACUGUUUUCCAAAAUUACUGUACUAUUUUUGUACUAUCAAGAGCAAUAUGAGUAUCAGUUGCUCCAUAUUCUUGUCAACACUUGGUUUUUUUAAUUUUAGCCAUUCUGGUUGUUGUGUAGUGUUAUGUCAUUGUGGUUUUAAUUUGUAUUUCCUUAAUAACCAAUGAUGUGGAACAUCUUUGCACAUGCUUAUUUGCCAUCUGUAUAUCAUCUUUGGUGAACUGCCUAUUCAAAUUUUUGCCUAUUUAAAAUUGAAUUGUUAAUGUAAUAAAUAUACCACUCUGGUGAGGGAUACUGAGAAUGGCAGAGGCUACACAUGUGUUGGGGAGGGGAUAUAUGCAAACUCUCUGUACCUUCCUCACAUUUUGCUGUGAACCUAAAACUACUCUAGAAAAAUAAAAUCU
Long non-coding RNA from Myotis brandtii (Brandt's bat), 1335 nucleotides. RefSeq lists it as uncharacterized. The record is from RefSeq and is a predicted model, not a curated record. The transcript is spliced from 2 exons. NCBI's taxonomy places the organism in Eukaryota, Metazoa, Chordata, Mammalia, Chiroptera, Vespertilionidae.